RNAcentral lists this ribosomal RNA (377 nucleotides) under uncultured bacterium. RNAcentral's name for it is "bacterial SSU rRNA". It matches the Rfam family "Bacterial small subunit ribosomal RNA", at positions 521 to 896 of the family's 1533-position model. The record is from RNAcentral.
UAAUACGUAGGGGGCAAGCGUUGUCCGGAUUUACUGGGCGUAAAGAGCGCGUAGGUGGAGCGUUAAGCGUGGCCUGAAAGCCCCCGGCUCAACCGGGGAAGGUGGCUGCGUACUGGCGCUCUUGAGGGCGAUAGAGGCGGGUGGAAUUCCGGGUGUAGCGGUGAAAUGCGUAGAGAUCCGGAGGAACACCGGUGGCGAAGGCGGCCCGCUGGGUCGACCCUGACACUGAGGCGCGAAAGCGUGGGGAGCGAACGGGAUUAGAUACCCCGGUAGUCCACGCCGUAAACGAUGGUCACUAGGUGUGUGUGGUAUCGACCCCGCACGUGCCGCAGCUAACGCAAUAAGUGACCCGCCUGGGGAGUACGGCCGCAAGGUUG